Molecule: unclassified non-coding RNA, 417 nt
Filed under: Hevea brasiliensis (rubber tree)
Lineage: Eukaryota; Viridiplantae; Streptophyta; Magnoliopsida; Malpighiales; Euphorbiaceae
Source: RNAcentral
GGAGGGGGGUGUUGUCACGAAUCCAGUGGAAUUUGUAAUCAAAGCCGCGAGAUUACAAUAACCUUACAUGUAAGAAACACAACCUGACCUAAUCAUUUCUGUUUCCCUCGGGACCUAAAAACAAUUGACCGAUGUUAUACCAUGUUAAGCUGUUAAUCAGGCUGGGUGAAGGAUAAGCUGUUACCAUAAACCUACCAUCAUAUCACAUCCUGCCUGCUAAGUCACCAGCUCUUCUUCUCAUUGGCCACUGCCAAUUCUGCUGUUACAAGUAAAUAGGCCUAAACAUCAAAUGGAACUGCAUAUAGGGAGAGGAUGAGCAUGGGUGCAUGAACACAUUCAUGCUUCAACACAUUGAUAAUAAUAAUAAGAAGAAACAAGGACUACUGAAUUAUACAUUUGCUAUGGAAGGAUUGUCGA